CACUAUGCUUAGCCCUAAACAAUGAUAAUACCCUACAAUUAUUAUCCGCCCGGGUACUACGAGCACCAGCUUAAAACCCAAAGGACUUGGCGGUGCUUUAGAUCCACCUAGAGGAGCCUGUUCUAGAACCGAUAAUCCCCGUUAAACCUCACCCCUCCUUGUUUUUCCCGCCUAUAUACCGCCGUCGUCAGCUUACCCUGUGAAGGCCCAAUAGUAAGCACAAUUGGCACAGCCCAAAACGCCAGGUCGAGGUGUAGCGUAUGGAGGGGGAAGAAAUGGGCUACAUUCAGUGAGUCACUGAACACGGAAGGCGGGCUGAAACGCCCGCCCGAAGGAGGAUUUAGCAGUAAGUGGGAAAUAGAGCGUCCCACUGAAACUGGCCCUGAAGCGCGUACACACCGCCCGUCACUCUCCCCGAAACAAAGCUAUACGCAUACAUAAAACCUAAUCAUCAAGAAGGGGAGGCAAGUCGUAA
Molecule: ribosomal RNA, 475 nt
Filed under: Bodianus dictynna (redfin hogfish)
Lineage: Eukaryota; Metazoa; Chordata; Actinopteri; Labriformes; Labridae
Description: partial small subunit ribosomal RNA
Rfam family: Bacterial small subunit ribosomal RNA
Source: RNAcentral